Molecule: long non-coding RNA, 357 nt
Organism: Lemur catta (Ring-tailed lemur)
Lineage: Eukaryota; Metazoa; Chordata; Mammalia; Primates; Lemuridae
Exons: 3
Source: RefSeq, a predicted model, not a curated record
CGCAAUCUUGUUGAGGAGACACAGGGGACUGGAACUUGCUUUCCCACUCGAGCUAUGAAGACGGGCACAGAAUCACCUUCUGUUGGAACUGUUCAUAAUGGCUUAGGUCUUCACAGAGAGUUUUCUUCAAGAGAAAACUCAAUGUUCUUUUCCUCAUUCCCAUGGACUUCAGAUGCCAACUUGGAGACCUACUUGACUGAGAUGACACACAAGUUGGAACAAAAUAUAAGUAUGGAACUACAAGAAGGUCUUGCUGAAUUAGAAUCUGGAUGCUCUUCUCUAGAAAAGCUUCUCCUCUAGGAUCCAUUGAUGAGGCAGAUAUAAAUCAAGAUAUACUUUGGACAGCAUCAUCACAAU